This 484-nucleotide ribosomal RNA is filed under the name uncultured bacterium. RNAcentral describes it as "partial 16S ribosomal RNA". It matches the Rfam family "Bacterial small subunit ribosomal RNA", at positions 30 to 507 of the family's 1533-position model. The record is from RNAcentral.
AUUGAACGCUGGCGGAAUGCUUUACACAUGCAAGUCGAGCGGCAGCGCGGCCUUCGGGCUGGCGGCGAGCGGCGAACGGGUGAGUAAUGCAUCGGAACAUGCCCAGUCGUGGGGGAUAACACUUCGAAAGAAGUGCUAAUACCGCAUACGUCCUGAGGGGGAAAGCGGGGGAUCACAAGAUCUCGCGCGAUUGGAGUGGCCGAUGUCAGAUUAGCUAGUUGGUGGGGUAAAGGCCUACCAAGGCGACGAUCUGUAGCUGGUCUGAGAGGAUGUUCAGCCACACUGGGACUGAGACAAGGCCCAGACUCCUACGGGAGGCAGCAGUGGGGAAUUUUGGACAAUGGUGGCAACCCUAAUCCAACCAUUCCGCGUGAGUGAAAAAGGACUUCGGGUUGUAAAGCUCUUUCAGCAGGAACGAAACGGUGGGCUCUAACAUAGUCCGCUAAUGACGGUACCUGAAGAAGAAGCACCGGCUAGCUACGUG